RNAcentral lists this transfer RNA (72 nucleotides) under Bos taurus (domestic cattle). It matches the Rfam family "tRNA". From Rfam's summary of the family: Transfer RNA (tRNA) molecules are approximately 80 nucleotides in length. Their secondary structure includes four short double-helical elements and three loops (D, anti-codon, and T loops). Lineage: Eukaryota; Metazoa; Chordata; Mammalia; Artiodactyla; Bovidae. The record is from Rfam by way of RNAcentral. RNAcentral also lists the same sequence under 1 other name.
UCCCAGGUGGCUCAGUGGUAAAGAAUCUGCCUGACAAUGUAGGAGACACUGGUUCAAUCCCUGGCUUGGGAA